This is a long non-coding RNA of Alligator sinensis (Chinese alligator), 286 nucleotides long. RefSeq lists it as uncharacterized. Lineage: Eukaryota; Metazoa; Chordata; Crocodylia; Alligatoridae. The record is from RefSeq and is a predicted model, not a curated record. The transcript is spliced from 3 exons.
AUUUCUGGUGCACAGAGUAAGGGCAGGCAGCACCUUUGCAUGGAGAAUUUAGGCUGAAACAGACUCAAAAUCUGAUGUAGGCUGAGACCUGCCUGCCUGCAUUAGGUCUAGCACAAUUUGGCCCGGAUCUGUGGAAUUCUUGGAAUCAUUAGUAAUAACUUACAUCUUUACAGAUCCACAAAGUGCCCAACCCCACCACCACAACCACAAUCCCCAGAACCCAUGGCUAGCCCUCUCCCAACUUCUGCUGAUGAGUCAGGCACCAACUGAGGACACCAUGCAGCCU